This is a non-coding RNA of Cherax quadricarinatus, 299 nucleotides long. The record is from RefSeq and is a predicted model, not a curated record. Lineage: Eukaryota; Metazoa; Arthropoda; Malacostraca; Decapoda; Parastacidae.
GUUAAGUCAUUGUAUAAUACUGCAUUUCUAAAACUGACUACAUUGCUUGAUUGCUAGCACACUCAGCUCACACACUGAGGUUGAGGGAUCAAUCCCCAAUAUGGAUGGAAACAUUAGGGCGUGUUUCCUUAAGGUACCUACUGUUCACGUUCACCAGUCAGUAAAAUAGUGGUGGAUCCAUCUGUCACACUCUUCAUGGGAAUUGAUAAAUAUGAAAAUGAAGAUCUUAUUAAAUGGGGCUGGCCAGAAGAUGUUUGGUUUCAUGUUGACAAAGUCUCAUCUGCUCAUGUUUACCUGCG